RNAcentral lists this transfer RNA (73 nucleotides) under Lachnospiraceae bacterium. RNAcentral describes it as "tRNA-Arg". It matches the Rfam family "tRNA". Rfam says of the family: Transfer RNA (tRNA) molecules are approximately 80 nucleotides in length. Their secondary structure includes four short double-helical elements and three loops (D, anti-codon, and T loops). Further hydrogen bonds mediate the characteristic L-shaped molecular structure. tRNAs have two regions of fundamental functional importance: the anti-codon, which is responsible for specific mRNA codon recognition, and the 3' end, to which the tRNAs corresponding amino acid is attached (by aminoacyl-tRNA synthetases). tRNAs cope with the degeneracy of the genetic code in two manners: having more than one tRNA (with a specific anti-codon) for a particular amino acid; and 'wobble' base-pairing, i.e. permitting non-standard base-pairing at the 3rd anti-codon position. Lineage: Bacteria; Bacillati; Bacillota; Clostridia; Lachnospirales; Lachnospiraceae. The record is from RNAcentral.
GCGUCUGUAGCGAAGUGGAUAUCGCAGCGGCUUCCGAAGCCGAAGGCCACAGGUUCGAAUCCUGCCAGACGCG